CCCCGGGGCCCUAUGCCCACCCCGUGCCCCCCAAGUGCCACGUUCCCCCCCCCCGGGCUGCGUGUCCCCAUGUCCCCCCCCUGGGCCAUAUGUCCCCGUAGCGUCCCCUCCUGGUGCCCACCAUGGCUCGCAGCUCCUGCGCGCGGCUGUCCAGGUCACUGAGGCGCCCUUCGCGCUCCAGCGCCUUGGCGAAGUUCUGCUUCAUCAGCUCCGUCACCUCCUCCGCCUCGCGCUGGCACUGCGCCAGCCCCGCCUGCGGGACCCCAAGCGUCACCGGGGUGGGGGGGGUUGGGGGGAUUGGGGACCUUGGGGACACCGGGGACGUGGGACCAUGGAGACCCUGCGGACAUGGGGACCUUGGGGAUACGGGGGACAUGGGGACCUUGGGGACAUGGGGAUCUUGGGGUCAUGGGGACUUUGGGGACAUGGGGACCCUGGGGACAUGGGGACAUGGUGACCUUGGGGACAUGGAGACUGUCGGGACAUGAGGACCUCAGGAACAUGGGGACCCUGGGGACACAGGGACUAUGGGGAUCUUGGGGACAUGAGGACCUUGGGGAUACUGGGGACACAGGGACCUCAGGGACAUGGGGACCAUGGAGACCUCUGGGAUCCUGGGGACACUGGGGACAUGAGGAGCAUGGAGACCUUGGGGACACAGGGACCUCAGGGACAAGGGGACCUUGGGGAUAUUGGGGACAUGGAGGUCUUGGGGACACAGGGACUAUGGGGAUCUUGGGGACAGGGACUAUGGGGACCUCAGGGACAUGGGGACCUUGGGGAUUUUGGAGAUGUGGGGACCUUGGGGACACGGGGCCCUUGAAGACAUGGGGACCUUGGGGACACAGGGACUAUGGGGACGGGGGGGGGCCUCAGUGACUUGGGUACACAGGGACCAUGGGGACACUGGGACCCUGGGGACCAUGGGGAUGGGGCAUGUGGGGACGCAGAGAUGGAGGACAUGGGGACACAGGGACCAUGAGGACCUUGGGUCAUAGGGACCAUUGGGUCACGAGGACCCUGGGGACACGGGGACCAAGGGGAUGGGGCAUGUGGGACCCAGGGAUGGAGGACAUGGGGACUGUGGGGACACGGGGACCAAGGGAUGGGGCACGUGGGGACCAAAGGGACCAGGGGACACAGGGAACAUGGGAUGGGACCCGUGGGAACAAUGGGGACAGGGCACAGCAUGGAUGGGGCAGACAGGGGACAGGACACAAGGCCAGGGACCGUGGGGACAUUGGGACUGCGGGGACAGGGCGCGUGGGAACAGGGACGGGACACAGGGACCAUGGGGAUGAGGGGACAGGGCAUACGGGGGGACAAGACCCACGGGGACAGGGUGACACAGGGACGGGAGACAUGGGGACAUGAGGACCAUGGGGACACGGGGACCCUAUGAAAUGGGAAUGGGGCACAUGGGGAUCGGGGGACAUGGGGAUCGGGGGGACAUGGGGACGGGGCACACAGGGAUCACGGGGAUAUGACCACGGGGACAGGGCAGAUGGGGAUUAGGGGGACAGGGGGACACAAGACCCGUGGGAACAGGGCAACACAGGGGUAGGAAACAUGGGGACCACGGGGACAGGGGGAUCAGGGGACAUGGGGACAGGGCACACGGGAAUCGGGGAUACGGGGAUGGGAGAUGUGGGGACACGACUCACAGGGACAGGGUGACACGGGGACGGGAGACGUGGGGACCACGGGGACCCCAGGAAAUGGGGACAGGGCACACAGGGAUCAUGGGGACAUGGGGACACGGGGAUCAGGGGACAUGGGGAUCGGGGGCACGGGGACCACGGGGACAUGGGCACAGGGG
RNAcentral lists this long non-coding RNA (1819 nucleotides) under Anser cygnoides (Swan goose). Its description in RNAcentral is "lncRNA (ENSACDG00005014365.1)". The record is from RNAcentral. Lineage: Eukaryota; Metazoa; Chordata; Aves; Anseriformes; Anatidae.